GACGAACGCUGGCGGCGUGCUUAACACAUGCAAGUCGAACGGAAAGGCCCUGCUUUUGUGGGGUUCUCGAGUGGCGAACGGGUGAGUAACACGUGAGUAACCUGCCCUUGACUUUGGGAUAACUUCAGGAAACGGGGGCUAAUACCGGAUAGGAGCUCCUGCUGCAUGGUGGGGGUUGGAAAGUUUCGGCGGUUGGGGAUGGACUCGCGGCUUAUCAGCUUGUUGGUGGGGUAGUGGCUUACCAAGGCUUUGACGGGUAGCCGGCAUGAGAGGGUGACCGGGCACAUUGGGACUGAGAUACGGACCAGACUCCUACGGGAGGCAGCAGUGGGGAAUAUUGCACAAUGGGCGGACGCCUGAUGCAGCAACGCCGCGUGCGGGAUGACGGCCUUCGGGUUGUAAACCGCUUUCGCCUGUGACGAAGCGUGAGUGACGGUAAUGGGUAAAGAAGCACCGGCUAACUACGUG
Molecule: ribosomal RNA, 468 nt
Filed under: uncultured bacterium
Lineage: Bacteria
Description: partial 16S ribosomal RNA
Rfam family: Bacterial small subunit ribosomal RNA
Source: RNAcentral